RNAcentral lists this ribosomal RNA (225 nucleotides) under Klebsiella pneumoniae. RNAcentral describes it as "partial 23S ribosomal RNA". It matches the Rfam family "Bacterial large subunit ribosomal RNA", at positions 2718 to 2925 of the family's 2925-position model. Lineage: Bacteria; Pseudomonadati; Pseudomonadota; Gammaproteobacteria; Enterobacterales; Enterobacteriaceae. The record is from RNAcentral.
GGGUUGUCAUGCCAAUGGCACUGCCCGGUAGCUAAAUGCGGAAGAGAUAAGUGCUGAAAGCAUCUAAGCACGAAACUUGCCCCGAGAUGAGUUCUCCCAGAGACUAUAAGUCUCCUGAAGGAACGUUGAAGACGACGACGUUGAUAGGCCGGGUGUGUAAGCGCAGCGAUGCGUUGAGCUAACCGGUACUAAUGAACCGUGAGGCUUCACCUUACAAAGCCGAAG